UACGUAGGGGGCAAGCGUUGUCCGGAAUCAUUGGGCGUAAAGAGCGUGUAGGCGGCCCGGUAAGUCCGCUGUGAAAGUCCAGGGCUCAACUCUGGGAUGCCGGUGGAUACUGUCGGGCUCGAGUCCGGAAGAGGAGUGUGGAAUUCCUGGUGUAGCGGUGAAAUGCGCAGAUAUCAGGAGGAACACCAAUGGCGAAGGCAGCACUCUGGGACGUGACUGACGCUGAGACGCGAAAGCGUGGGGAGCAAACGGG
RNAcentral lists this ribosomal RNA (253 nucleotides) under uncultured bacterium. RNAcentral's name for it is "partial 16S ribosomal RNA". It matches the Rfam family "Bacterial small subunit ribosomal RNA", at positions 524 to 776 of the family's 1533-position model. The record is from RNAcentral.